This 301-nucleotide ribosomal RNA is filed under the name uncultured bacterium. RNAcentral's name for it is "partial 16S ribosomal RNA". It matches the Rfam family "Bacterial small subunit ribosomal RNA", at positions 509 to 807 of the family's 1533-position model. The record is from RNAcentral.
CAGCAGCCGCGGGAAUACGAAGGGUGCAAGCGUUAAUCGGAAUUACUGGGCGUAAAGCGUGCGUAGGCGGUUUGUUAAGUCUGCUGUGAAAUCCCCGGGCUCAACCUGGGAAUGGCAGUGGAUACUGGCAAGCUAGAGUGUGUCAGAGGAUGGUGAAAUUCCCGGUGUAGCGGUGAAAUGCGUAGAGAUCGGGAGGAACAUCAGUGGCGAAGGCGGCCAUCUGGGACAACACUGACGUUGAGGCACGAAAGCGUGGGGAGCAAACAGGAUUAGAUACCCCCGUAGUCCCUGUCUCUUAUAC